This is a non-coding RNA of Acanthosepion pharaonis, 110 nucleotides long. The record is from the annotation of a GenBank genome assembly. Lineage: Eukaryota; Metazoa; Mollusca; Cephalopoda; Sepiida; Sepiidae.
UACAGCCAUAUCAUAUUGAAACACCAGUUCUUGUCUGAUCAUCAAAGUUAAGCAAUGUCAAUCCUGGUCAGUACCUGAAUGGGUGACCACUUGAGAAUACCAGGUACAGU